GUCCUACCGGGCCGCCGCAGUGCUGUGAGCGGCAGGCUGACAAGGUUUGCAUCAUCUUCAGGUAUCCUACAGACCAGUGCUUGGACCGGAGAUUAAGAAGCAACUCAUGAGAUUACAGGGGACUCUAACAACUUAAUGACAGGCCAGCUUGCAACACGCAACAAAAUAAAAUCCUGCACAGAGAUUUCUUCACAUGCAUGUACUCCUGCUGCAGGUCGUCUGGGUCAGAGAGCUGAACCAAGCUGAGCCUGCCUCAGUGUCAAAGUUGGUUUUUAUGUGUUGUGUUGUGAACUGGAUGCAAAGCUAUUGUUCAAGCUGAACACAGUAUCUGUAACUUUUCAGGUUCUUGUUAACAAAUACCUUAAAAGAAAAAAAAAAAAAAGAAGAAAACAAAAGAUUGUGCAUGAUUAAAUUCAUAGAGAAUGAAUUAGGAAGCAAAGUUUGCGGGGUGACUAAAAGUGCUUCACAAAGCCUCGUUAAGCUGCAUCCAGACCACAGCUACUUUUGACCUUACCAGCUAUUUUCCACGUUUUAUGCUGAGAGAGGGGCAGUCAUUCUGUUGACACUCAGGAGUUGCAGAACAGGGCAAGAAGAAGAGGAUGAGAGUGGGAAUGCCUCAAAAAGCAAAUACUGAAAGAGGUGGGUGGUUUCACUUCAUAAAUGCAGCGGGCAAGUUAAGCCUGUUUAAUCCUCUCAUCAUACCAGUAUUAAAAUAUCCUCCAGCUGCACUUCACUUCCUGGAAUCUUCCCUGAUAUAUCAGAAGGAUGAAUACUACCACAUCCAGAUGCAAAAGGACAUCAGACCCCAUGUGGUAUGUACAUGUUUGUUUCAUAUAAGGUCUUUGCCAGUAGGAACUGGAGAGAGAACUGGGGAGAGGCGUAAGAGCACCAUGAUAAAGAGGAAAAGGAGAAAAAAAAUCUCCACAUUCCAAUCUUCUUUGCCUGAUGUUGGUUGUGACUUUCUAGUGUCUCAUAGAUAUUAAAGCUGUUGAUCCUUUCAGAGGUGUAUGCAUUCUUCUCUCAAACACUUUAGUGUUUUGCUUUUAGUUUAUGAAUUACUCAAUGCUGUUGCAAUGUCCGUUGUUUCCAUUCAUCUGUUUUUUUCAGAAUUGCGAGUUUUUCAAUCAACUUAUUAGAAAACAUAGCUGUCCGUAUAAAAUAUAACUGCACACACAAGACUACACAUAAUGCAAGUCUAAAUCUUCAGUAUUUACCUACUUA
This is a long non-coding RNA of Cygnus olor (mute swan), 1221 nucleotides long. RefSeq lists it as uncharacterized. NCBI's taxonomy places the organism in Eukaryota, Metazoa, Chordata, Aves, Anseriformes, Anatidae. The record is from RefSeq and is a predicted model, not a curated record. The transcript is spliced from 8 exons.